AAUCAACGCUGGCGGCGUGCCUCAGACAUGCAAGUCGAACGAUUAAAGCUCUCUUCGGAGAGUGCAUAGAGUGGCGCACGGGUGAGUAACACGUAAGUAAUCUACCUUCGAGUGGGGAAUAACGUCCGGAAACGGGCGCUAAUACCGCAUAAUGCAGCGGCAUCGCAAGAUGACAGUUGUUAAAGGAGCAAUCCGCUUGAAGAGGAGCUUGCGGCAGAUUAGCUAGUUGGUAGGGUAAUGGCCUACCAAGGCUACGAUCUGUAACCGGUCUUAGAGGACGGUCGGUCACACUGACACUGAAUAACGGGUCAGACUCCUACGGAGGCAGCAGUCGGGAAUUUUGGACAAUGGGCGCAAGCCUGAUCCAGCCAUGCCGCGUGC
This 381-nucleotide ribosomal RNA is filed under the name uncultured bacterium. RNAcentral describes it as "bacterial SSU rRNA". It matches the Rfam family "Bacterial small subunit ribosomal RNA", at positions 32 to 404 of the family's 1533-position model. The record is from RNAcentral.